RNAcentral lists this ribosomal RNA (472 nucleotides) under uncultured bacterium. RNAcentral describes it as "partial 16S ribosomal RNA". It matches the Rfam family "Bacterial small subunit ribosomal RNA", at positions 28 to 507 of the family's 1533-position model. The record is from RNAcentral.
GACGAACGCUGGCGGCGUGCUUAACACAUGCAAGUCGAACGCUGAAGCUUGGUGCUUGCACUGGGUGGAUGAGUGGCGAACGGGUGAGUAAUACGUGAGUAACCUGCCCUUGACUCUGGGAUAAGCCUGGGAAACUGGGUCUAAUACUGGAUACGACAUGCCACUGCAUGGUGGUGUGUGGAAAGGGUUUUACUGGUUUUGGAUGGGCUCACGGCCUAUCAGCUUGUUGGUGGGGUAAUGGCCUACCAAGGCGACGACGGGUAGCCGGCCUGAGAGGGUGACCGGCCACACUGGGACUGAGACACGGCCCAGACUCCUACGGGAGGCAGCAGUGGGGAAUAUUGCACAAUGGGCGGAAGCCUGAUGCAGCGACGCCGCGUGAGGGAUGACGGCCUUCGGGUUGUAAACCUCUUUCAGCGCGGAAGAAGCGAGAGUGACGGUACGUGCAGAAGAAGCGCCGGCUAACUACGUG